UGUUAAGAAUUCCAUCCAUUUCUAUUAUUAAAAACUAGCAUGGAUGACAGAAUAACCAAACAGAGAAAUGUGAUGUGUCACAUGUACCUUAUGCUGACAUACAAGGGUCAGUUUCUAACAAUAGAAAUUGAUAAAAUUUUUAACA
Gossypium arboreum is the source of this 145-nucleotide non-coding RNA. Lineage: Eukaryota; Viridiplantae; Streptophyta; Magnoliopsida; Malvales; Malvaceae. The record is from Rfam.